GCAUAUCAAUAAGCGGAGGAAAAGAAACCAACAGGGAUUGCCUCAGUAACGGCGAGUGAAGCGGCAAAAGCUCAAAUUUGAAAUCCUUCGGGAGUUGUAAUUUGUAGGUUGGGAGACCCCGCGGCUAGUGGCACCAAGUCCCUUGGAACAGGGCGCCUUAGAGGGUGAGAGCCCCGUAGGUACCACAAUACCGUCUUGUGUCUCCUCUCCAAAGAGUCGAGUUGUUUGGGAAUGCAGCUCAAAGUGGGUGGUAAAUUCCAUCUAAAGCUAAAUACCGGCGAGAGACCGAUAGCGAACAAGUACAGUGAUGGAAAGAUGAAAAGCACUUUGAAAGGAGAGUGAAACAGUACGUGAAAUUGUUGAAAGGGAAGGGCUUGCAAGCAGACACGGCCUUCGUGCCGGGCCAGCAUCGGUUGCUAGGGGUGGAUAAGGAACAAGGAAUGUAGCUCCUCGGAGUAUUAUAGCCUUGCGCGAUACACCCACUGGCGACCGAGGCCUGCGGUAUUCUUUACCUAGGAUGCUGGCGUAAUGGUUGCAAGCCGCCCGUCUUGAAACACGGACC
Molecule: ribosomal RNA, 562 nt
Filed under: uncultured fungus
Lineage: Eukaryota; Fungi
Description: eukaryotic LSU rRNA
Rfam family: Eukaryotic large subunit ribosomal RNA
Source: RNAcentral